RNAcentral lists this non-coding RNA (29 nucleotides) under Mus musculus (house mouse). The record is from RNAcentral. RNAcentral also lists the same sequence under 1 other name. Lineage: Eukaryota; Metazoa; Chordata; Mammalia; Rodentia; Muridae.
AUAGAGUCAUAGAGCGAAGGAUAGCUAGC